Molecule: ribosomal RNA, 90 nt
Filed under: Vibrio parahaemolyticus
Lineage: Bacteria; Pseudomonadati; Pseudomonadota; Gammaproteobacteria; Vibrionales; Vibrionaceae
Description: partial 16S ribosomal RNA
Source: RNAcentral
CUUAAAGUGAAGAGUUUUAUCAUGGCUCAGAUUGAACGCUGGCGGCAGGCCUAACACAAGCAAGUCGAGCGGAAACGAGUUAUCUGAACC